This 259-nucleotide long non-coding RNA is filed under the name Lathyrus oleraceus (garden pea). RNAcentral's name for it is "Pisum sativum (pea) long non-coding RNA (PSAT_LNC014298)". The record is from RNAcentral. Lineage: Eukaryota; Viridiplantae; Streptophyta; Magnoliopsida; Fabales; Fabaceae.
UUCUCUUUCUUUCUUUUUUUUUUUUUUUUUUUUACAUUCACUUACUGCAAAGCUACCCCAAACUUAAAGGUUGCUAUUCCAACAGCAACCCCAAACUUAGAUAGAAACGUAGAGCUGAAAUUAAUCCUCACAUACUCUGAAUAGGGUAGGAUAAUUACAAGGUCAUGGAUUGAGAAGAGCGGGUAUAUCAGAAACAAAUGAAUAACAGGCUCAACAGGGUUAAACAAUGGAUAAUAAUAAUAAUAGAUGGGAUGGCUAG